Molecule: ribosomal RNA, 816 nt
Filed under: Arthrobacter sp. G1_1
Lineage: Bacteria; Bacillati; Actinomycetota; Actinomycetes; Micrococcales; Micrococcaceae
Description: bacterial SSU rRNA
Rfam family: Bacterial small subunit ribosomal RNA
Source: RNAcentral
CGAACGAUGAACCCGCUUGCGGGGGAUUAGUGGCGAACGGGUGAGUAACACGUGAGUAACCUGCCCUUAACUCUGGGAUAAGCCUUGGAAACGGGGUCUAAUACUGGAUAUUGACUUUACCUCGCAUGGGGUUUUGUUGAAAGAUUUAUUGGUUUUGGAUGGACUCGCGGCCUAUCAGCUUGUUGGUGAGGUAAUGGCUCACCAAGGCGACGACGGGUAGCCGGCCUGAGAGGGUGACCGGCCACACUGGGACUGAGACACGGCCCAGACUCCUACGGGAGGCAGCAGUGGGGAAUAUUGCACAAUGGGCGAAAGCCUGAUGCAGCGACGCCGCGUGAGGGAUGACGGCCUUCGGGUUGUAAACCUCUUUCAGUAGGGAACAAGGCCAGCAUUUUUGUUGGUUGAGGGUACUUGCAGAAGAAGCGCCGGCUAACUACGUGCCAGCAGCCGCGGUAAUACGUAGGGCGCAAGCGUUAUCCGGAAUUAUUGGGCGUAAAGAGCUCGUAGGCGGUUUGUCGCGUCUGCCGUGAAAGUCCGGGGCUCAACUCCGGAUCUGCGGUGGGUACGGGCAGACUAGAGUGAUGUAGGGGAGACUGGAAUUCCUGGUGUAGCGGUGAAAUGCGCAGAUAUCAGGAGGAACACCGAUGGCGAAGGCAGGUCUCUGGGCAUUAACUGACGCUGAGGAGCGAAAGCAUGGGGAGCGAACAGGAUUAGAUACCCUGGUAGUCCAUGCCGUAAACGUUGGGCACUAGGUGUGGGGGACAUUCCACGUUUUCCGCGCCGUAGCUAACGCAUUAAGUGCCCCGCCUGGGGAGU